RNAcentral lists this unclassified non-coding RNA (308 nucleotides) under uncultured Coprinopsis. RNAcentral describes it as "sequence contains ITS2". The stretch from base 1 to 52 matches the Rfam family "5.8S ribosomal RNA", at positions 103 to 154 of the family's 154-position model. The record is from RNAcentral. Lineage: Eukaryota; Fungi; Basidiomycota; Agaricomycetes; Agaricales; Psathyrellaceae.
AACGCACCUUGCGCUCCUUGGUAUUCCGAGGAGCAUGCCUGUUUGAGUGUCAUUAAAUUCUCAACCUCACCCAUUUUGUCAUGAAGUGGUUUGUGUAGGCUUGGAUGUGGGGGCUUGCAGGUCCGACCCUUCUGGGCUGGUCUGCUCCUCUGAAAUGCAUUAGUGGGUUGUGCCCCUAAUCUAUUGGUGUGAUAAUUAUCUACGCCGUGGAUCAGGAUUGGCGAUCAAUGACCUGCUGAUAACCGUCCGUCUCGGACAGCUUUGACAUUUUUGACCUCAAAUCAGGUAAGACUACCCGCUGAACUUAA